RNAcentral lists this long non-coding RNA (306 nucleotides) under Phoenix dactylifera (date palm). Its description in RNAcentral is "long non-coding RNA (PDAC_LNC012219)". The record is from RNAcentral. Lineage: Eukaryota; Viridiplantae; Streptophyta; Magnoliopsida; Arecales; Arecaceae.
UGGGUUGCCUCCCAAGAGCGCUAAGUUUUAUGUCUUCAGCCAGACAAAAUGUAGAUUCAUUUUUUUUCAACCAUUAUCUAAGAAUGGUUUUGGAAGAGUCCGAGGAAGAACAGUCGGCUGAUGACGAUCUAUGCUCAUAAGGGGAACAGAAUUAGGGAGCGCAUGCUUGACCCCUUCCUCGGAAUGGGCAAGAUAAGCCUCUAAAGGAUCCUUACUAUAAGUUUGUAAGAAAGUCUUCUGAACCAGACUUUCAAUCAUGUCAACUUCAUUGAUUUCUUCAUCGUUUGGUGGUUGUUUACUUAUGUU